RNAcentral lists this ribosomal RNA (487 nucleotides) under Alvinonemertes christianeae. Its description in RNAcentral is "partial large subunit ribosomal RNA". It matches the Rfam family "Bacterial large subunit ribosomal RNA", at positions 1808 to 2607 of the family's 2925-position model. Lineage: Eukaryota; Metazoa; Nemertea; Enopla; Monostilifera. The record is from RNAcentral.
CAAAAACAUAGUCUCUUGUAUUUUUAUAAGAGGUGGUUUCUGCUCAGUGUUUAUAAACAGCCGCAGUAAUUUGACUGUGCAAAGGUAGCAUAAUCAUUUGCCUCAUAAUUGGGGGCUUGUAUGAAUGGUAUUACGAAAGUUUAACUGUCUUUUAUUUAUUGUUAUAAUUUGUAUUUGGUGUGAAGAUACAUUAAUUUUUUAAGGGGACAAGAAGACCCUUUUGAGCUUUAUUUUACACUUACUUUUUGUAUUUGUUUAAUUUGGUUGGGGCGACCUAGGAAGAAGAAUAUGUAUUAUCUUCCUUUUAUUUUAUAGAACCAAUAUUUUUGGAAUAUAGAUCGAGUUACCAGAGGGAUAACAGCGUAAUUUUUUUUGAGAGUUCUUAUUAAAAAAGAAGAUUGCGACCUCGAUGUUGACUUAUAGUUUCCUUUUGGUGCAGUAGCUAAUAGGGUGGGUCUGUUCGACCUUUAAUACUUUACGUGAUCUG